UUUUAGUUUGCCCCCCCGAAACUAAGUGAGCUACUUUGAAAUAGCCAUGAGAGCCAACCCAUCUCUGUUGCAAUAGAGUGGGACAAUUUUUAAGUAGAGGUGAUAAGCCUAUCGGACUUAGAGAUAGCUGGUUUUUUAAGAAAAGAAUUUUAGUUCAGCCCUAAGCCUCCUAUUACACAAAUAUUUUACUAGACUUAGGUGUUAUUCAAAUAAGGCACAGCUUAUUUGAAACAGGAUACAACCUACAACAAAGGGUAAGACAAAUUACACUUUUGAUAAGUGGGCCUAAAAGCAGCCACCUUUAAAAAAGCGUCAAAGCUUAACAUUAAAAUUUAAUUAAUACCCAAAACAACUUCUAACCCUUAUUAACUAUUAAAAAACCCCAUAAUAUUAUGGAAGUUAUUAUGCUAGAACAAGUAACAAGAAAAAGACUUUCUCCAAAAUGUAGACUUAAGCCAUGAUAGACAAACUGAUGGCAAUCAACGUUUAUGAGCCACUUAUAGCAACCCACCAAGA
This 516-nucleotide ribosomal RNA is filed under the name Boophis andohahela. RNAcentral's name for it is "partial 16S ribosomal RNA". The stretch from base 1 to 408 matches the Rfam family "Bacterial large subunit ribosomal RNA", at positions 700 to 1297 of the family's 2925-position model. Lineage: Eukaryota; Metazoa; Chordata; Amphibia; Anura; Mantellidae. The record is from RNAcentral.